GGUGAAGCCUGCGGUUCAAUUGGAGUCAACGCCAGGAAACUUACCAGGAGAGACAGCAGGUUGAGGGUCAGUCUGAAGAACUUACCUGACGAGCUGAGAGGAGGUGCAUGGCCGUCGCCAGCUCGUGCCGUGAGGCGUCCUGUUAAGUCAGGCAACGAGCGAGACCCCUAUCGGUAAUUGCUAACUGCCCAGAGAUGGGCAGAGGCUAGUUACAGAGACUGCCGUUGAUAAAACGGAGGAAGGAAGGGGCCACGGCAGGUCAGUAUGCCCCGAAACUCCUGGGCCACACGCGGGCUGCAAUGGUAGGGACAAUAGGUUCCGACCUCGAAGGAGGAAGGCAAUCCCCAAACCCUACCCCAGUUGUGAUCGAGGAUUGAAACCCGUCCUCGUGAAUAUGGAAUCCCUAGUAACCGCGUGUCAUCACCGCGCGGUGAAUACGUCCCUGCUCCUUGU
Molecule: ribosomal RNA, 453 nt
Filed under: uncultured archaeon
Lineage: Archaea
Description: bacterial SSU rRNA
Rfam family: Archaeal small subunit ribosomal RNA
Source: RNAcentral